Molecule: long non-coding RNA, 648 nt
Filed under: Volvox carteri
Lineage: Eukaryota; Viridiplantae; Chlorophyta; Chlorophyceae; Chlamydomonadales; Volvocaceae
Description: long non-coding RNA (VCAR_LNC001463)
Source: RNAcentral
AACGAACCGACUCGGAAAUGCAAAUCGUCGCCUGCGCCGCGGCGGACCCCCGCUCCGCACUCUAGUCCCUCACACCCGAAGUCGUUUUUUACAGUACUGCCCUAGGAAAAGGUUGCGCUCAAAUCCUAACCAAUCGCAACCAAUAAUCCUACUUAAUAAACAGUUUUGUAACAGUCAGGUCGUGGACGCCACUGCUACCCGGUACCCGGCCUCGGUCCUCAGUUCAAAUCCAACAACCCGCCGACUUUUCCUAUCGCGCAUCCAUCGGACCCGCUUGACCCACUCUCACCCCACCCGGCCUCGGUCAUAACUUGUAGUGCUUGUUGUGAAUCCCUCGCCCAUUGAGGUCCCAUGUCCCGUCGUCCGCCUUCUGUUGGAUCCUAUCUGGAUCCUAUCUGGAUCCUAUCUGGAUCCUGUAUGGAUCCUGUCUGGAUCCUGCUGUCCCGUCAUCAUUUCCGCACAUCCAUGCAAGAGGUCGCCACCACGGGCCCUAACCGCUUUCGCCGCUCAACAGCGCACCUAGGGAGAAUGCCGCCGCGGCGGCGACGUGACCCAUCCGGCUGCAGCAGCCCAUGCCGACGACGACGACAGCCCCCAGAGCCGCGCCCCUCGCACCCCGGGGCUCCCCCCUUCCACUUCCACGUGCAC